UCGGGAAUUCCCAUUGAAGAAUUUGCGAAAUUCCAAAUUGCUUUAUUUAGUAUAGCUACACAUGUGUUCUUGGUGACUAUGUGAUUGUGAUAUUAUGGUUGUUAAGGGUGUUUUAUUCUGUUUAUGGUUUGUUUUUUUAGGUUUAACUACUGCAACAUUAGAAAGUUUUCCCAAUUCUACAAGGUCUACCAUCAGAAAGCGGCGGCAAAGCAGUUUGGAAUGUACUCUUCCGCCACAAUUGGAGAAUGGAAGGUGGCUAGUAACUGAAGUAGAUGUUAAACCAGGUGAUAAAGUAGACUUUAACUCAAUAAUAAGAUUAGAAUGUCAUGAAGGUUACCAAUUAUACCCUGAUAUUCGCUUACAAAUUUGUGAUAGCUACUGGAAUGAAAAAAAAUUGCCAACGUGCAAAAAAAAAUGUCCCCCAUUUUAUUCAACGGCAACUACCACGUUAACAUGUAAAGAUAUAAAUAACGAAGCAGUCCCUUGUGAUAAAGCAGUUAAUGGUACCUAUUUAACUUAUAAUUGCAACGAUUAUCAUGAAAUACCACCAGGAGGUAGUAAUAUUCUCUACUGUGACGACGGCGUUUGGGACUUUCCGAAACCUAUAUGUCAACCAAUUUGCGGAAAAAAAGUUAAAGUGGGAGAAGCAACUGCAUUACUUUGGGGUGGCAGACAAGCCAAUGCUUUUGAAUUCCCAUGGGUUAUAGCGGUAUUUAAGAUCUCAGGAACAGGUUACGAGAAUAUAUGUGGGGGCACGCUAAUAAGCAGAAGAGUUGUUAUAACUGCUGCUCACUGUGUUACUGAUACUUAUGGUAAUGCUCUGGAUCAAAACAAAUUUCAAGUUGCUGCUGGAAAAGUUUACAAUGCCUUCGGAGAUAAACGAGAUGUACAUGCACAAUAUAGAAAGAUAUCAAAAGUAAUUGUUAAUGAUGGAUAUAGGGGGGAAACUCAAAAAUACAUUGCUGAUGUGGCUCUACUCAUUACCCAAGAGCUUUUUAAACUUGACCCAAUCGUUCAGCCAAUAUGUAUGGAUAAUAUGGAUAGCGUACAUUUAACUAAUUAUCAAAUAGGGGAGGUAGCUGGUUGGGGCCUUACUGAAGAAGAAGAGCCCUCAGAAAUCCUUAAAGCAAUAAGAAUACCAUACAAAGAUAGUGCCACAUGUGCUAAAGAGCUACCACCAAGUUGGGAGGAAGUGUAUAAUAUUUUUGAUAAAAUUUGUGCUGGUCGUCAGAAUGAAAAUAUUGCGGUCUGUAAAGGAGACAGCGGGAGCGGUCUUGUUUUUAAAAAUCGAGAAGACAAUAGAUACUACCUCCAAGGAAUAGUAAGUAUAGCACCAACUUUACAGAAUUCUCAAUGUAAUUACCAAACGAACGCCUUAUACACCAGUGUCCAAUUCUACUACUCUUUUAUAACAAGAGAAAUGUCUAAAUAUUUCAUAGAGGACUGCAUACUUCCACCCUAUCCAAAAAAUGGAAAAUGGUUUCUAGAAGGUGGCGUAGAAAAAAAGCCCGGUGAUAUUGUAUUGUCCAGCACGAUCUUACGAUUUUCAUGUAAUACGCGAUAUAUAUUGUCCACUAUUUCAGCAUAUAAUGACUGUCACAGUUAUUACAGUCAUCCAACAUGUUUAAGAAUAUGUCCUAAACCUUUAUUACCGAGUGGAACACAAAUGCUCUGUAAAAACUCUAAGGAUCAAUAUAUAGACUGUACAGAUAUUGCUGAUGGUAGCAGUAUAACGUUUACAUGUCCAAACGGUUUUGUAUCCGACAGAGGCACAUCUACUAGUACCAGAUUUUGUCGAAAUGGAGUAUAUGGUAAUUCUGCACCUUCUUGUAUAGAUAUUAAACAAAAGCCAGUGCACGUUUCUAAUACAUCAGACAAAUCUAAGAAAACAACAAAACAUACAACAGCGACAACGGCGACGACUACAAGUAUGAUUACUACACCAAGUUCCUCAAUUACAUUAGAGAAGUCAAUUACAAGUCAACUUAUUAACGAUGGAAAAAAAGUGAUAUGUUAUUAUUCCGGAUGGACGGCAUAUAAUGGCUCAUAUCCAGAAGAAGUUGAGCCUAGAUUGUGCACUCAUCUAGUUUACGAAUAUAUUGGCAUUAGUUAUAACGGAGAGUUGGAUCUGAAGGAAAAAGGACCAGAUUUACUUAAACUGACGAUGGAUUUAAAAAAUAAAAACAAAGAUUUAAAAGUGAUGAUCAGCGUUGGUGGUAGCAGAUUUAGUUAUUUACAGUUCGAAAGGCUCUCCAUAGAUAGUGAAAGAAAAUCAUCUUUUCUGGAUAGUACCGUAAAAAUGAUACAAACCUACAGUUUUGAUGGAUUGGAUUUUUCCUGGAUGUUCCCAGAACCCAGUGACAAGGAUAGAUAUAUUAGCCUGUUGGACCAAAUUAAACGUAUUUUUAAAAAUCAUGGAUGGCUACUGAGUGUCACUGUAUAUCCUAAAUUGGAAGACACUGGAUACGAUCCUCUAGAAAUGGAUAGGGCCUCGUCUAACGAAUCUAACUGAAAGUGCCACAGGUGUUCGCAGUAAGGAUUGUUAAGACCAGUACAAAAGGUUUUUAGUGCUAAUUUUCUAAACAUAGUAGACUGGGUAACUAUUAAGACCCUUGAUGCAUAUAAUACUUUG
This 2632-nucleotide unclassified non-coding RNA is filed under the name Diabrotica virgifera virgifera (western corn rootworm). RNAcentral describes it as "uncharacterized LOC126891729". Lineage: Eukaryota; Metazoa; Arthropoda; Insecta; Coleoptera; Chrysomelidae. The record is from RNAcentral.